RNAcentral lists this ribosomal RNA (456 nucleotides) under uncultured bacterium. Its description in RNAcentral is "partial 16S ribosomal RNA". It matches the Rfam family "Bacterial small subunit ribosomal RNA", at positions 29 to 523 of the family's 1533-position model. The record is from RNAcentral.
AGCGAACGCUAGCGGCGGGCCUAACACAUGCAAGUCGAGCGCAUAGCUUCGGCUAUGAGCGGCGGACGGGUGAGUAACACGUAGGUCAUCUACCCUCUGGUGGGGAAUAACCCGGGGAAACCCAGGCUAAUACCGCACGAGCCGAAAGGUCAAAGCCGGCAACGGCGCCAGAGGACGAGCCUGCGUCGCAUUACCUAGUUGGUAGGGUAAUGGCCUACCAAGGGGACGAUGCGUAGCUGGUCUGAGAGGAUGAUCAGCCACACUGGGACUGAGACACGGCCCAGACUCCUACGGGAGGCAGCAGUGGGGAAUAUUGCGCAAUGGGCGAAAGCCUGACGCAGCCACGCCGCGUGAGUGAUGAAGGCCUUCGGGUUGUAAAGCUCUGUCGGAGGGGAAGAAUACUGACGGUACCCUCAAAGAAAGCACCGGCUAACUCCGUGCCAGCCGCCGCGGUAA